CUGCACUCUCUCUCUCUCCCCAUGACCUCCCUGUGUGGCCUCCAGGACUUGUACAUAACUAACCUUGUUUUUUCCAAGUUCCCUGACAGUUGCUGAUCUGUGUCCUGCAAGCAUAAUAAGAACCACAAGGGCUGGUCCAGCCACAAUAUUGUUGCUGAUAGGGAAAUGCCUGUGGGGGAGCCUCACAAGUAGUAUCAACCCAGAAGUGGCUUCAGAGCGGAGGCCGCUCCGGCCGAGGUCCUCCUGGCUCUCCAGGACAUGAAUGGUGCUACACUGAGGAUUCUGCUUAGCAGUCAAGAGUGGCAAAUACCCUCUGGCUCCCUGCAGCUCCUGCCCUGGUGAGAGGUCGUCAGCCUACAGCGUCCUGCCCUGGUGAGUGGUGGUCAUCAGCCUGCAGCGUCCUGCUCUGGUAAGCAGU
This is a long non-coding RNA of Manis pentadactyla (Chinese pangolin), 418 nucleotides long. RefSeq lists it as uncharacterized. The transcript is spliced from 3 exons. The record is from RefSeq and is a predicted model, not a curated record. Lineage: Eukaryota; Metazoa; Chordata; Mammalia; Pholidota; Manidae.